Molecule: ribosomal RNA, 252 nt
Filed under: uncultured bacterium
Lineage: Bacteria
Description: partial 16S ribosomal RNA
Rfam family: Bacterial small subunit ribosomal RNA
Source: RNAcentral
UACGGGAGGGGCAAGCGUUAUUCGCCAUGACUGGGCGUAAAGAGUCCGUAGACUGUAAAGUAAGUUAUUAGUUAAACUUUAAAGCCUAACUUUAAAAUAGCUUUUAAUACUGCUUUACUUGAGUUUUAUACAGAAGAGUAGAAUUUUAUGUGUAAGGGUAAAAUCUAAAUAUACAUAAAGGAAUACCAUUAGCGAAGGCGACUCUGUGGUAAAGACUGACGGUAAGGGACGAAAGUGUGGGGAGCAAACAGG